This 38-nucleotide ribosomal RNA is filed under the name Theileria equi. RNAcentral's name for it is "large subunit ribosomal RNA LSU6". Lineage: Eukaryota; Apicomplexa; Aconoidasida; Piroplasmida; Theileriidae. The record is from RNAcentral.
GAGUACGUAAGGAACAGGAAAGAUAAGCCGCUAUCAAA